Molecule: ribosomal RNA, 391 nt
Filed under: uncultured bacterium
Lineage: Bacteria
Description: partial 16S ribosomal RNA
Rfam family: Bacterial small subunit ribosomal RNA
Source: RNAcentral
AUACAUAGGGGGCAAGCGUUAUCCGGAAUUAUUGGGCGUAAAGCGUGCGUAGGCGGUUUUUUAAGUCUGAUGUUAAAUCCCACAGCUCAACUGUGGGCUGCCAUUGGAGACUGGUUGACUUGGGUGCGGAAGAGGUAAGUGGAAUUCCAAGUGGAGCGGUGGAAUGCGACGAUAUUUGGAGGAACUCCAGUGGAGAAGGCGGCUAACUAGGCCGUUACUGAAGCUGAGGCACGAAGGCGUGGGGAGCAAGUAGGAUUAGAUACCCUGGUAGCCCACGCCGUAACCGAUGAGCACUAAGUGUCGGAUGAAUUUUCGGCGCUGCAGUUAACACAAUAAGUGCUCCGCCUGGGGAGUACGGUCGCAAGACUGAAACUCAAAGGAAUUGACGGGG